This 236-nucleotide ribosomal RNA is filed under the name uncultured bacterium. Its description in RNAcentral is "partial 16S ribosomal RNA". It matches the Rfam family "Bacterial small subunit ribosomal RNA", at positions 100 to 334 of the family's 1533-position model. The record is from RNAcentral.
CGGGACGGGUGAGUAACGCGUGGGUAACCUGCCUUAUACUGGGGGAUAACAGCCAGAAAUGACCGCUAAUACCGCAUAAGCGCACAGAACCGCAUGGUUCGGCGUGAAAAACUCCGGUGGUAUAAGAUGGACCCGCGUUGGAUUAGCUAGUUGGCAGGGCAGCGGCCUACCAAGGCGACGAUCCAUAGCCGGCCUGAGAGGGUGAACGGCCACAUUGGGACUGAGACACGGCCCAG